Long non-coding RNA from Oreochromis niloticus (Nile tilapia), 1915 nucleotides. Lineage: Eukaryota; Metazoa; Chordata; Actinopteri; Cichliformes; Cichlidae. The record is from Ensembl.
ACGAUGGCAAACACUGGGGUCCGGAGGGACCCCGAACCGCCGGAGGAAACAACUCUCAACUUUAGAUCAUCAUCAUCAUCAUCAUCAUCAUCAUCAUCGUCGUCGUCUCCUUCUCGGCAGUGUUCGCGUAAAUGGCCCUAAGUGAGGACCUCGGACUCUCUUUGCCUCCUAGUCCUGCGACCUCCUUCUGCUCCGUUCUCCUGCUCCUCGCAGGUGAGCGCUUUGCCGGAUGGGCCUUGGGUUACGCGUAAAUGGGCCUGAGUGAGGACCUCGGGCUCUCCGUUGCUCCUCGUCUGCCUUGCUGCUUCUCCAUCGUUCUCCUGCGCCUCGCUAGUGAAAGAGCAGCUGUUUGGUCUGCCUAUUACGCGAACACCGCCCUCCGUUUGGACCUCGGGCUCUCCGUGCCUCCUCGUCCUCCUUGCUCCCUCUACAUCCUUGUCCCGCUCCUCGCUAGAGUACGCUUAGGUUUGCAGAGGGUGGGUUUCGCGAACACCCUCUUCGGUGAAGACCUUGGGAUCUCCGUUGCUCCCCGUCUUCCUUGCCCCUUCUACAUUACUCUCAAGUGCCUCGCUAGUGAAAGAGCAGCUGUUUGGCCUGCCUAUUACGCGAACACCGCCCUCCGUUUGGACCUCGGGCUCUCCGUGCCUCCUCGUCCUCCUUGCUCCCUCUACAUCCUUGUCCCGCUCCUCGCUAGAGUACGCUUAGGUUUGCAGAGGGUGGGUUUCGCGAACACCCUCUUCGGUGAAGACCUUGGGAUCUCCGUUGCUCCCCGUCUUCCUUGCCCCUUCUACAUUACUCUCAAGUGCCUCGCUAGUGAAAGAGCAGCUGUUUGGCCUGCCUAUUACGCGAACACCAUCCUCCGUUUGGACUUCAGACACUCCUUGCCUCCUCCUCAUCCUUGCUCCCUCUACAUCAUUCAGAUGCUCCUCGCUAGCGUACGCUUAGGUCUCCGGAGGGCCGGUUUCGCGAACACCCCCCUUCGGUGAGGACCUCGGGCUUUCCGUGCCUCCGUGUCCUCCUUGCUUUCUCUCCAUCAUUCUCAAGUGCCUCGCUAGUGAAAGCGCAGCUGUUUGGCCUGCCCAUUACGCGAACACCGCCCUCUGUUUAUGCUCCUCGCUAGCAUACGCUUAUGUCUGCGGAGGGCCGGUUUCGCGAACACCCCCUUCGGUGAGGACCUCGGGAUCUCCGUUGCUCCGCGUCCUCCUUGCUCCUUCUCCUUCGUUCUCAUGCGCCUCGCUAGUGAAAGAGAAGCUGUUUGGCCUGCCUAGUACACGAACACCGCCCUCGGUUUAUGCUCCUCGCGAGAGUAGGCUGAGGUCUGCGGAGGGCCUAUUACGCGAACACCGCCCUCCAGUUGGACCUCGGGCUCUCCGUUGCUCCUCGUCCUCCUUGCUCCCUCUACAUCCUUCUCAAGCGCCUCGCUAGUGAAAGCGCAGCUGUUUGGCCUGCCCAUUACGCGAACACCGCCCUCCGUUUAUGCUCCUCACGAGCGUACGCUUAGGUCUGCGGAUGGCCGGUUUCGCGAACACCGCCCUCCAGUUGGAUCUCGGGCUCUCCGUUGCUCCUCGUCCUCCUCGCUCCCUCUACAUCGUUCUCAAGCGCCUCGCUAGUAAAAGAGAAGCUGUUUGGCCUGCCCAUUACGCGAACACCGCCCUCCGUUUAUGCUCCUCGCUAGCGUACGCUUAUGUCUGCGGAGGGCCGGUUUCUUGAACACCGCCAUCGGUGAGGACCUCUGGAUCUCCUUUGUUCCUCGUCCUCCCUGCUCCCUCUCCUUUGUUCUCAUGCGCCUCGCUAGUGAAAGAGAAGCUGUUUGGCCUGCCUAUUACGCGAACACUGCCCUCCAGUUGGACCUCGGGCUCUCCAUGCCUCCUCGUCCUCCUCGCUCCCUCUACAUCGUUCCCCUGCACCUCGCUAG